UAGAAAUAACGACUGACGAGAUACCACGAAGAGAAGUCGCGCAGCGCGUAUUUUCAGACAUUCCUAAAAUAAACCCGCAUUUCCUCCGCGACUAGCUUGGAAGCUUAAUAUUCUGAAUCACAGCACAAAGAUUUCGUGGUAGCGAAUGACGAUGCGUGAUCCAAGGGGCCCCAGAUCUGAGACAUGCAAAACAUUUGAAAUAUUUCGCACCACCUCGACGAAGGCUCGUAUACUAAAAUCAAAAAACAACUUUUUACUUAUUCACAUUUUUAUUACCGAGCAACUUUCACAAAUUGUAUCUGUAUUGUCUGUAAGACGUGCCCUGCAGUGAUCAUCACAUAUAGCUUAUGAUCCUCGGGCCAUAGUAUGUAGCGAAAACCUCAGCUUUUCAGUCUUCCAAAAGCUGACUGUAUCACCUGAGAUCAAAAAAACAGGAUUCACAAACGUUCUCAUACGUCGUGACAACGAGAAAUUGUACAAAUCUUUACCAAACUUCAAAGCAAUGAGCUUUGCACGGUAACCGCCACCAGAGAUAUCGGCAGCACUCCGGCCUUGGUUUGUGAAAACAACCCGGUCGGCAGCAAGGACGUUGAGGGACGUAGUACUUGGGUCGUGGUUCCGGUUUCAGAGGAAUGGUGACCGUGCAACCCCUACAAGAGUCGCAGAGUUACAAACGGAUAAACCAGAGAAAAUCAAGACGAAGAUGAUGGGAACUUGCCCAUGAAGCAUUAAACCUGACCUGUGCCGGGCGGACUUUGCACUGCACCUUCGGAAAUACAAUUAAUCCAGCCACGACGAGCGAUGCCUUCCGAUGAUCACUCAUUGUCAGAGUCGAACCGCUCAUUUCAAGGGACUCGCUGCCACCCUGGCAGGACAUUGCGGAGGACAUGCUGGAGGACACGGCGGUGGACAGUAAGGAACGCAUUUUGGAGGACAGGGUCCGCACGGCACCGGUGGUGUACAAAUCGUGAUUCGGCAAGGCGGGGGACAAGGACAACAUGGUACGCACGGCGUGCAAGGUGGACAAGGUGGUGGGCAGCAAGGGUAUACAGGACUAUUCUGCUUGCAACCUGGGGAGGAAGGAGCUUGAGGCGGAGACGAGCCACCACAGCACGACAUUUUCUUCAAAUUUUUCGAUCCCCUGGAACAAUCACUGCUGUUCGCUGGAUUAAAAUACAGACUUCUAAAUUGAUAAGGAGUUAGGCUUGCACCUACAUUACACAGUACACUAAAUAAGUGAUCCAGGACACCUGAUGACGGCAAUGUAAAAUAUAACAACUCGUUGACCAUGGACGAUAAAAUAUUAGCAUCGAGGUGGUGGGCAACAAGGCAUGCACGGUAAACACGGUGGUGGGCAUGGUGGAGGACAAGGCGGCGGACAUGGCAUACAGGGAACACACGAAGGGCAAGGCAUACAACGAGGCGGCGGUGGACAGCAACUGAUGCAUGGUGGGCAAGGUGGAGGACUGCAGGGCGGUGGACAGGGUGGAGGGCAGCGAGGUGGCGGACAACAUGGAGGCGGAGGGCAUCGAGGUGGCGGACAACAUGGAGGCGGAGGGCAUCGAGGUGGUGGACAAGGUUGUGCUGGUGGUGGUGGGCAGGGUUGUGGACAACAUGGUGUAGCAGGGCAUGGAGGUGGACAUGGUGGUCCGGCACAUGUAUUGCCACAGGUCCGUUAGUUUGAGGAGAGCUGCCCGACCUGGACCACAAACUGGGUAAAGCUUCGUCAUGCACUCCGGUCGGCCCAUGCAAUCGUACAUCAUGCAACGAUCCUGCAGUCCGUUACGCAGGAUGCACUCACAUCUGUACAUUAUUCCACCGCGAAGUUCGAAGCUCUUGCAUGCCUUGAUUGGGCUCUGUCGACGAAACG
Molecule: RNA transcript, 1870 nt
Organism: Neodiprion fabricii
Lineage: Eukaryota; Metazoa; Arthropoda; Insecta; Hymenoptera; Diprionidae
Gene name: glycine-rich cell wall structural protein 1.8-like
Exons: 4
Source: RefSeq, a predicted model, not a curated record